Potamilus streckersoni is the source of this 74-nucleotide non-coding RNA. NCBI's taxonomy places the organism in Eukaryota, Metazoa, Mollusca, Bivalvia, Unionida, Unionidae. The record is from the annotation of a GenBank genome assembly.
GCACUAGCUCAGAUGGUAAAGCAUCAGACUCAUAAUUUGAGGGCCUUGGGUUUGAUAACCACCCAGAAAAAACU